UAGUCGAUCCUAAGAGUCGGGGGA
RNAcentral lists this small nuclear RNA (24 nucleotides) under Arabidopsis thaliana (thale cress). RNAcentral's name for it is "snRNA_10600". Lineage: Eukaryota; Viridiplantae; Streptophyta; Magnoliopsida; Brassicales; Brassicaceae. The record is from RNAcentral.